Non-coding RNA from Gasterosteus aculeatus aculeatus (three-spined stickleback), 2894 nucleotides. Lineage: Eukaryota; Metazoa; Chordata; Actinopteri; Perciformes; Gasterosteidae. The record is from RefSeq and is a predicted model, not a curated record.
AGAUAAGACGACUGGAAAUGACAAUAUAUGUGAUGUUGCUGCUCUUCCUCUUCUCUUUUUACAAAUUAGUAUGAUUGUAUUGUAUAUUAUCUAUCUAUCUAUCUAUCUAUCUAUCUAUCUAUCUAUCUAUCUAUCUAUCUAUCUAUUUAUCUAUCUAUCUAUCUCAAUGUGACACAGUGUGAGAAAAAAGAAGUUCCCCAGCAUUGUCUGCUAGACCACUUCCUGUGAGCCACUGUGAAUUUAGUCAUUAAGCUCAGUAUAAAACCUUGUGUAGACACUUGGAUGAGGGUGUUGGUGAGAGUGUUACCACGUUUCAUCGCUUCACUUGUGUCUUUGAGUGCCUCACGCACAAUGCUGAAAGGCCUUGUUUUUCUAUUUAUUGUUUGGAACUCAUCGGCCUCCAGAAACCCCAAAACUCACCUUCUGUUCUCGCUGGGAUGUCAGGCUGAGAUUCCUUGUCCACAUUACCAAAGGGAUUCAAGCCAUUUCAAAUGGCUGCACGCGAAAGGUAAGGAAAGGAGCACGCUGUACUUUAAAGACGACAAAGGAAUAGAACAACAUCAGAGCUUCUUCCGCUCCAGAAUGAAGGUGCUAGAUAAUGGUUCCUUGAUCAUUGAUCGUUUCACUGAGGCGGAUGAGGGACUUUACUGGUGUGAAGUCUGUUUUCAGAACAAUUGGUGGAAUGAUUCGCUCACUGUCGUCACUGUGAACAAAGAAACUCUAAAUGAGACUAAUAAGACAGUCAACGUUAUUGCAGGAAUCAGUUUAACUGAGACAUGUCCCGGCGACUUUCUCAACUUAAGAUGGACAUUUGAAGCACCCGCAAACUCCGGCCGAGGCGCGGAACCAGACUUCGUGACUCACAACAAGUCAUUGCAAAUUGUAAAUGUCAAAAAAGCACAUGCUGGGAGAUAUAUCUGCUGGAGAAGUGGAUGUGACGGAAACAAACAGAAGCUUUUCACCGUCCACUUGUGUGUACUAACAGGUCACAACAGUGAGGCCUCGUCUUUUUCCUGUGCGGUGACGUGUGACGUGGAAGUCAAAGCCAACAGCACAAUGAACGUGGAGACAGGCAGAGGGACGAUAUCUGUGCCUGUAGAUCCAGAUGGGUCCUUGAACUGCACUGCAAAGCAGAUGUUUGAUGGACACCACACAUUCAACAGCACCGAAAGGCCAUCAGACGCUUUCAACAACUCAACAGAUUUCCCAACGGAGCUCGGAUAUCUGUUGCCGGUGACUUAUGGAGCGUCAGCAGGCCUCACAUCGCUUAUUUUAAUGUCAAUUUUCAUUUGCUACAGAAGAAAAUCACGAGCAGCGUUUCCUGUUGACUUUUGUUGCCGGGGCUCAGAUGCCAGGGAGGAAGAGGAGAUUUCAGUGGUCUAUUCAUCAACUGUCUUUAGGAGACCUGCAAAGAUCAAUCCUUUGACAGACAGUGGUUGUGUGUACAGUGAAAUACGAGUAGCCUAAAGAGAACCGGCCAGAAAUGAAACUGUUCAAUAAAUAAUACUGUGUAAAAGAUUUUGUGAUAUUUUUAUGUUUGUGUCUUUAGAUACUGUUGUUAUACAUUACAUUCAGUUUAAACUACUGUGCUAACAAAUGUAUGUUUGGGGUAUUGUGUUUUAUUAGAGAUAGUUUACUAUUUUACUCCACAGCAUUUAUUUUACAGCUACAGUUACUUUGCAGUAGGUGAAUAUCCCCCCAAUUAACCGUUUGCACACACAAGUGGAGAGUGGUUAACGCAGGUUUCCAUUGCGAUAUGUUAGUGCACGUUGAUGAAGACGAAUACACCGGUAGAAGAGGAGACCUGCAUAACUACACGGCUCCAGUAGGUGGCGGUGACGCGCCACGUCCAACAGCAGCGGGAAAAGCAACAGCCGAAGAAGAGUAAACUAGGUUUUCCCUCACUGUUGUCGGCGGUGUCCUGUCUCUGCUGUCCGCAAUAAUCCAAGCAGUUGGCGUUUUCCGUUUCUCGAAUCACCACGUAGUCCCCAUUAAUAUGCACGUGUCAUUCAAUUAAAGUACGGCAGCGAACGUUGAAAGGUUUGGCGCGGUACAUUGGACCUGCACGCUGUUGUAGCUAACAGAUGCUAUCUGCCUUAGCUAGCCGCUAGCUAGCUCGCUAGCUGGGUAUCUGCAAGCCGCACAGAAGGCGCGCUAUCCGACUUCUAGCCGGUGCUCCAGAUCAGGCGAAGAGCUGCAUUUGAUCAGUGUUCAGAUAACAACAACCCGGUGCUAAAGAAAACAUGGAAGCCCCCCAAGUUACAGUGAUGCCUGUCACCGGAGGAACCAUCAAUAUGAUGGAAUAUCUGCUGCAAGGCAGUGUGUUCGACCAGGCACUGGAAAGCCUCUUGCAUCGCCUUCGAGGUCUGUGUGACAACAUGGAACCGGAGACCUUCACCGAUCACGAACUGGUUUAUCUCCUGAAAGGCCAACAGGGGAACCCUUUCAUUCUGCGCGCGCGGCGGUCCCUCUCCCACCCCACAUCGCCAUGGCACCUACGCUACCUCGGCCAACCUGAGGUGGGAGACAAGAGCCGCCACGCCCUGGUGCGCAACUGCGUUGACGUGGCCGCCUCUCACAGCCUGCCGGAGUUCCUCAAUGAGAUGGGCUUCCGCAUGGACCACGAGUUUGUGGCUAACGGGCACAUAUUCCGCAAAGGCGCUAUGAAAAUAGUGGUCAGCAAGCUGUCGCGGAUCCUGGUACCAGGGAACACGGAGAACACGGAACGUCUAUCGCUUUCCUUCCUGGUGGAGCUGAGCGUGUUGGCGCCUGCCGGCCAGGACACGAUGUCAGAGGACAUGCGCAGCUUUGCCGAGCAGCUUAAACCUCUGGUCCACCUGGAGAAGAUUGACCCCAGCAAACAGAGGCAUUGAAUGACAUCAUUUAGAGGGUCG